Molecule: non-coding RNA, 411 nt
Organism: Pelobates cultripes (western spadefoot toad)
Lineage: Eukaryota; Metazoa; Chordata; Amphibia; Anura; Pelobatidae
Source: the annotation of a GenBank genome assembly
UAUCACAUUCCCUUCUAAUAAAACUAAACAAAAUACCGAACAGUCAGACCCCACACAAGGGGAGUGUGCCGCUUAUUAACCACCCAGAUGCUGUGGUUAACCACACCUAUUUGGCGAACGGCUGGGUGGUCACUGUUCGUAUGAGCGAACACGUGGCGACGGCCAUCUUAAACUGACGAACGCACAGCGGUGUUUGGUCAUCGACAGCAUGGAACCAUUUUCGGACACUAUUUCUCACAAACACCGCUGGGACUUUCAACCUUUAACAUUCAAACUCCCGAACGAGACCGACCCCAGAUAGCUAAAUCCAUGGAGCUAUUUUUUGAACAGAUUUCUAACGAACAGUCGGUAAAAGACUCUUUAGCUCCAUGGCGAUUUGACUGUGUUCAUGGGAUCUGAGUGCUGUUCGGC